UGUACAGUACAGUAAAAAAUAUAUAUAUAUGUAUAAUGGUUUGUAUAAAAGGUACAAAAUUUGUAUGUUUUUUCUUUUCUUUUUGUUUUUUUACAAUCACACAAAAAGUAGAGCUUGAGGCACACUCAAUGAAAAUAUUAACCAUUAAUUCAUAAGCAUCUUUAGAGAUAAAUGUUUUCAGCAAUUGCUUACACAGGAUUUCUGUAACGAUGACAUCUUUUCUCUAAACUCUAACUCAAAAGCCCAAAACACACUCACAACACACAAAACAUGAUCACACAUCUCUUGCAACAGCAAACACUUCUUUCAAAACUUUAUGAACUCUUCUCAAAAUGGUGUUUUUGCAUCAUAUCUCUACACAUCAAAUCAUUCGCUCUUAACUACACACAGAUGUGACAAAUGUAAAACAUCACUAUCUCGUUUUCAGUGCGCAGUGGAAUGCACAGCCAUUUGUCAUAGCUUUUACACAUACAUGUGCACAAAUACUGUAAAUACACUAUGUAUGCCUAUUACUGUAUAUUUACACUACAAAUAGAAAAUCUGCGGGGAAAUAGCCCUAACUUCUUUUGAUUUCUAAGUCAACAAACAAGUUGGUUUUGAAUGACAGAUCGUAUGUUGAGAAAAAAUCUGACACCACGCUAAUGUGCACUCACAUUUACACAAUAAAUAUGUCCAUCAUGUGACAAAGAAUGUAACAAAUUCAUAAAUACAUUUUGUAUACAUUAUCUAAAAAAAAAAAAAUCAAAAAACAUUUUUUUUCUUUUGCUGAUAAUAAUGACACGAGUGCAAAAAAGGGGGAGUAGCAACUUUUCCCCUUUCAACUGCCACCAAUUAAAGUAAAUAUGGGAAAAAAAUUGCAUAAUAUGAAAUACACACUCCCACCAGCACAAACUCUCCGCCCAUGAGUCUCAAAUGAAAGGAAUAAACUGCCUAUAUAAAGACAGAGACUGUCUAAAUAAAACCACCAGAAAUCGACUGGACCGGCACACAUGAACUCCUGAUACUCAACGAACGCAGACUUUGCUUUGAAAAGGCUCGAGAAAUGUCUGGGAAAAAAUUGAUUCUUCUUGUCGCCGGCUCAAAGGGCUGGGAAAAUUACAAACACCAGGCCAACGUGUGCGGUUUAUAUCAGAUAAUUAAGAAACAUGGAAUUCCUGAUGAGCAGAUCGUGGUGAUGAUGUAUGAUGACAUCGCUUACAAUCGCCAAAACCCAACUGAUGGAGCCAUUGUCAAGUGUAGUUGAUGAUUCAAACGUGUACCUCGGAGUUCCGAAGGACUACACUGGAAAGGAUGUGACCCCACAGAACUUCCUGACUGCUCUUCAAGGGCAUAGGAGUAUAGACAAAAAAGUCAUAAAAAGGUUUGUCUGUUAAGAAGAAAUCUUUCAAUGAUAUCAAUAUGUCAUGUAUUGUUUUAUUAGGGGUUCAAGCGCGUAGGGCUGAAACCCUUUUGUAAUUGUUAACAUUUCCAAGGCUGCCUGAUGGGGGUGCUACAGCAAUGUCAAAAGAAUGAAAACUGUUAGGCGGGUGUCUUAUAUUGUUGGAUUCGCUGGAGAAUUUUUAAAAACCUACUUUUGCAAACUAUUCUUAGGUUUUUUUACCUGACCGGAACCAAACCAUUACUGCAAGAUUCUCGUGAGUCUGACUGUCAAUAGUUGUCAAAAAAAAGGUGAAAUUCCGAUUCACUAGGUGCCACCAAAACAUUCAAAGUUGGUGGAGCAACUUAAUUACUAAAAUGGCUGUAACUUGUGAAUGGAAUGAGAUAUUUUCACCAAACUCAGCACACCUAUGUAAGAGUUCAUUUUUUCCUCGCAUGAAAAAGGACCCGGCAACUGGUCACUUGGUGGCGCUAUAACAUGAAUAAAACAUGAAAACGGCUAUAAUUACUUCACCUUUAGUCCGAGUAACUUGAAAAUCGCCAGGCCAUGUAUUCGUCCAAGGUGCCAUGACUGUCUAUGAGGAAAACAUGUCCUGCAAUCAGCCAAUGAAAUUUGAGCAGGUAUUAGACAAGGUUAACAGAGGCCAAACGGAAUGAAACUGUUUCUUUUGAAAUCCAAAAGAAAUUGGCCAUUGGGGGUUGCCAUCACGUUUUUCACACGAGUAAAGGAUUGUGUACUGUGCGAUUUUCCAUGAGAUUCAUAUUACAUGGUCGAACUCCUCAUUCUGAACAACUUUGCCUCUAGGACUGCCUCCAUCGAAUCAUUCAUUAGAUAAUUUCAAAAAACAACUUUGGCGAACUAGUCCUAGGUUUUUGGCUCAACCUUGAUAACUGUUAAAAAGCUUUAAAAACUAUAUAUUUUCUAUGGUAUAUUGCCUGUAUUUGCUGUAAAUGAGCGGCCUUAAAGCGCUUGAACCCUGAUCAUUGCUGCUCUCAGCUAUAUUUAUUAUUAUAUUAUUACCUUCACUUUUGUGCAGUUAAUUAAGGGCCAACCACUGAAUACGAGGAAGCAGCACAGGUGCUUAGUUACAUUUUUGUAACAUUUGUCAAUGGCUAAAUAUGAAAUUGCAUACUUCUUCCCUACAACAUAGUAGGCAAAAAAUAAGAGUUGGCAAAAAGUAUCCAGAUUACCUACUUUUUCCAGGCGAGAUACUGGCUGUGUCUGAAAUCGUAUAAUCUCUUGAGUUGGUACUUAAGUAAUUACUUUAGUUUUAAAGCACCCCUAUAAUGCCUUUUUUUAUAGGUUCCUAAUAUUGUUUUGGGAGUCUCCUACAACAGGUUUACAUAAAAAAAAAAAAAACACUUUUGUUUUCUAAUUAAAUACAUUUAAUUUCACCUCAGUUCUUAAUAUUUCGUAAACAAUUCAUUAGAAGCAGUUUGAAGAAUCACUCUAAAAUCACCCCUCCUUUCCGUGACCCUACACUGCUCUGAUUGGUCAGAUUGCCCAAUCAUUUGUGAUUUUUGCCAUAACUAAAUGACAGCUAUCAAUUCGCAAGACACUGUAUAAAAUAUAUGGACAGAAAAGAUGGCAUCGAUUUUACCAUAUCAUUUGAGCCUGAGUCGAUCAACCAGAAAAUGAUUUGCAAUCACGACUGGAGCAGGAUCGGUUCUCUAUGGUAAGUGUCACCCUUAGUUUGCGUUAUUUAUAAGACGUUAUAGCAUGGUUAUACUUUAUGUAGGUGCACCUGUGGGAACUAUAUCAGAAUGCCAAGUGAAGCUGAAAACCUCUAAACACAAGAUAAACAUUUAGGCCAGAUGUGUACACAGACUUUUUUGGCCAUAAUAAUUAAAAAAGAAAAAAUGGCUAUAUCAUUGUUUGACAUUACAAGGGGUGUUUACCGUUAACAUAGAGAAUACUUCAACUAGUUAGUGUGGACUAGCAUCUUAACAUACUAUUACAAUACAGAUAGAGCUCCACUCUACUAUAAAUAUAAAACCGCAAAGGAAAAAACAUUUUGUUUUGUUGUUGUAAACUCCCACGUUAGCCGAGCAAAAACGUGAAUAGCUAAUAAUGCAUUACACUCUGUAAACAAAAGUCACGACUUUUGAUUAAUCCAUCCUUGAUUAUGACUCCAAGUAAUAAGACAGACAAGCUGCAUUAAUUGACAAACUUUUAGACAAUAUUGGACCCACAUCUGAAUAGCAGAACUACAGAAACGUGAGUUAGCCAGUUAGCAGGCACACACACUAGGGUACGUAUAUUACACAACAUAACAUACAAAACUACGAAUUUUAAACAAUCGCUAGAAAAUAUAAACAUCAAUUAUUAAUCAUACUUACAGGUUGAGAUUCAGAGGAGCAAGCUGGUCCAAAUAAACUGGUCAUUGAUCCAUAUUUUUUUUUAUUUUAAGCGUUUUGUGAAUCCUGCGUUAAACUCCCCAAGUUUUGAGAAGCAGUCGUCAGUAAAAUGAACACAACAAAAGAUUGUACUGCUGUGCACCGGUCUCGUAUCUCUCACGGAUGAGCUCCAGCAGCAUAAAAGGAGGAACAACGACAGUGAAGGACAAGAGAGGACCAGGCCUGGACUUUGUGUUAUGUUUUAUUAUGUUUGUGCCACCAUUUUACUUUCGUUUUGUUGUUUGUUUAUUUUAUAUUGUUAUUAAAGUCUGUUUGAACGUUCACCAGUUCCCGCCAGUUUAAAGAGCUCUUAAAACAGUCCAGUGUUGGAGAGUCUCUAAUCACAAGUGGUUAUGCAUUCCACAAACGUGGAGCUGAAACAGAGAAAGCUCGACCACCCAUAGACUUUAAAUUAUAUACUGGCAGCUGAAGAAUACAUGACCCAGAGAGAACGGCCUGGAGUGUAGGGGGCAACUAAACUGCAGAGAUAAGCAGGGGCAGUCCCAUGAAUCGCUUUAUAUGUUAAGAUAAGUAUUUUAAAAUCAACUCGUGCUUGUAUAGGAAGCCAAUGCAAGUUAUAAAGUACUGGGGAGAUAUGUUGACGAGCAGUUGUAUUUGUCAAUAGCUGGGCGGCUGAGUUCUGAAUGUAUUGUAAUUUCUUGAUAGACUUGUUUGGGAGGCCGACAUUAAGUGCAUUGCAAUAAUCAAGCCGCAAAGUAAUAAAAGCAUGAAUAAGUCUUUCUGCAUCCGGCAGCGAUAAAGAAUGUCAAAGUCUGGCUGUUAUGUGUGCUGCUGAAGAGAUGAGGCGAGUACGGAAAUCCACAAUUAAUGGGCUUUAUUUACAAACAGGAUACUGAGAGACAGCUUCACACACUUAGUCAAACAAUAACUAACAACAAGAACGGACAGGGAAUGUAGGGAGUGAGUCCAACUUAAAGGGAGUGCUGACGAGGACAACAGGUGCUGGGAAUCCGGAGAGAUGGCGGGAAGACUGAUGAGGGAAGUGCAGACAGGUGUGCGGAACAGGAGGAUUCUGGGAAACGGAGUUCGGGACAGGCGUGGAUGUAACACUGGCGAUAUUUCUUAGAUGGAAGAAUGCAGUUUUCGAUACCAUUUUGAUAUGGGCAUCAAAUAAUAGUUGUGGGUCAAAAAUAACGCCAAGAUUGCGCACCUGAGCAGACGAGGUAACAAAGUCAUUGCCAGUAAUCAAAUUGGAACUAUUAAAUUUACGCAAGGCCGUUGGAGUACUGACAACCAGAACUUCUGUUUUUGUCUCAUUGAACUUAAGAAAAUUAUCAUGCAUCCAAGCUUAUAUCUCAUCCAAGCAGGUCGUAAGAGUUGUGACUGCAAGGUUUGGAUUAGGGUGCAUGCUGACAUAGACCUAGACCUCUGUAACAGUCAUUCUGAUGAUGCCAUGUCUCGCAAAAACAAAGAAAGUCAAGUUUCCCAUUGAGGAUAAUAUCAUGAAGCAGUGCAGCUUUCUUGUUCAUGGACCACACAUUCAAUUGAACGAGUCUAAUUUUAGAAGUUUCAUUCUUAUCACGCUUAUUUCUCAAAGACAUUUGUGGAUAAGUUAGAUUGGACAUACAAAUGACGCAGGAAUUUAAGUGUCCUGAUCCCCGAGAAUAGGAGCAAAGCACAUUUAUACCAGUCAGCGACACAUAUAAACCCCGACGAGAGCCACGAUGUAUAUAACUUGGCCGUCGCCACAGUUGAAGUGCUCGCAGAGCAUUUUGAGUACAAUCACUUGGAGGCAGGUGAUGAUCCAAUGAAAGAAGUACAGAGAAUGAGUACCUUAUACUAGCGUUCCACGGUUUGAAUUCCUGUGCAGACCAAGGUAAUAACAAGUAUCGUGAAAGAAAACAGCAUACUGAUGUCCAAUCCAGUAGAAUCCUUGACUAAUCCCAAGUGGCAGAUAUGAUUCAGUGAUUCACAGGAGAUAAUAGCAACACCAGGCCAGCAGCAAUGUCGCACAUCCACACCAGUCUCAGAUAAACAGGGACAUCGAGGUGCGCACAAAGAUCACUGCAGUAUCAAUAUCCUCAACAACUAUAAUCUUAUUACUAAGCAUAAUACAACAUUUAAGCUAAUGAAUUGUAAUGUAGAGUCCACUGGAGGCGAGUGUGGUAGAACCCAAAUGCAGUUUAAUAAGAAUAAAUCCCAAAUACAAACGUGAACAAAAACAGACAUGACUUGGCAUGAACAGACUUGGCUUGAACACUCACCGACAGCAGGUUACUUUGAUAAUACAUGACAAAGGAACAUGGGGAAGACAAUGGCUAUAAAUACAAGAACUGAUGGAACAUAUGACUAGGACAACCAAUGGGGAAGUGACACAAGGAACAAGAGAACCAAUGACCGCACAGAACUGAAAACCACAUGACUAUAACCAACCAAUGAGAACAUGACACAUAGACUAAGGGAGAACAUGAGGAGCAAGGGAAACAUGACACAAACAAGCAACAUGAAUCAACUACAAAAUAAAAGACAUGAAAUCAAAAACAUGAACACAAAACCAAAACACCCGUGACAUGAAUAUGGGGCCUGCCCAAAUUUUUUUUAUUAAAACUCAACAGGCAUACAUUUUUGUUGAAACAAUAAAGUGCUAUAUGGCACCUCUUAUGUUGCACCAUUUGACAAAGGUGCACCUUUAAAGAUAGGUGCUAUAUAGCACUUAAAGUGAGUCCCCUAUGAUUACAAGCCAAUGAACCACUUUUAGUGCUAUUUAGUACCAUUUUUUGUUUAGAAUUCAUCAUAAUAAUAAUCUAAAUAGUAAAAAGCAAAAAUUAGCAUCACUCAUACAUUUAUAAGUGUAGCUAUAGAUACACAACUGACAACUAAAUGUACAAUUUUAUUUAUUUAUUUUGCUUUUAAUGGUAGUUUAUAAGUGAUCAUCUUAGAAUUGACCAUGUUAUUUUUAGGCGAUAAAAUUAUAAAUUCAAGAUUUUGCAUGUAAAUACAUGGAUAAGGACAUAGGAACUGUUGUGUUUAGUCUGACAACCUGUUGACUUCUAGAUCAUUAAUUCAGUAUGUUUUAUGACAGCUUUAUCCUGCUGAUCUCAUUGGAGCGAUCAAAAAGAUGUAUGAUGAAAACAAAUUUUCAAAGGUAUGUAUUCAGUAAUGUUUACAUAAAAAAUCGUUUGCAGCCGAAAGUCUGAAUGUGACAAUCUUACCCUCUUCCACCUUACAUACUUAACAAAUCCCAAACUUUAAUCUGAAAGGAAAUUCAGUCCUUGUAAUUAUUUUUGCCACUCUUCUAUUUCUAGCAGGUCUAUCUUACCCAAAAGUCACAUCAGUAGGCCUACUGCUUUCACAACAGUUACUGCAAAGCUUUUGAAAGGGGCAAAAACAACCUGUAGUGAUAUAAAACACCUUUCAUAAAGGGAAUGAGUUGCUGUAAUUUUAAAUAUCUGACUAUUUCCUCACCAUGUAUAUGUGCUGCAGAUGGUGAUAUACAUGGACAGCAGUUAUUCUGCAACAAUGUUCAAAGACCUUCCCAAGGAUGUAAAUGCCUUUGCGUUGACUUCAUGUGACAAAAAUACUGAGACCUGUCCCACUAAUUACGACAAUUCCAGGGACGUCUUCCUCUCUGAUAAAUUCUCAUGUACUUGGUUGAAUUACCUUAAUAAGGCUGACUUUGAAACAGAAACAUUCCAUGAGCUGGUACAGAAUAAACAAUCUAAAUAUCUUAAAGAAAAUCCUGGUCCCUGCCCCUGCCAGUUUGGGGACAUGGGAAUCACUAAAUGUUACCUCAAGGAGUUUCUUCAAAACUGAACACCCUACAAGCUGUUCAAACCUUAUUCAAGAAAAAAUCCUGUUGAGGCUCAUGCAGAUGAUAAUAUCUAAAUAUAAUAUUUAUAAUAAUAUGAUAAUAUUUUUUUCUUCUUCUUAUGUUCUUUUCUUCUCAUAUUCUUCUGUUCAACAAGGCUGAAUUUGUAAGGUCAAAAAUAGAGCCUAAAACAGUAAUAUUGUGAAAUAUUGUGGGGGGAAAAAAUACAACUGGGAAAAGGGUUAAAAGUACAGUGACUGUGUGUUGUUUUAUAUAAGUGCAUUUGACAGGUUCAUUGGCUUACUGUGCAUUUAGGGUCUCUAUUUUUGCUCCCCAUUAAAAUUAAACCCAUGGCCUUGGCACUGCUACCAAGAUCAUGAUAUUUUAACUAGUCACAGUAAGUGAAUGUUGUCUGUGAGUUGAGUGACAGCCAUAUAAAGUGCUUCUUAUGGUCCAAGACACAAAUCACCUUAUUUUAGAGCCACCUAGUGUUGAACAGAUAUGUGUCUAUGUGCCUGAGAUAAUGCACACAUGAUUUACAGACUCUAAAUGACACACCCAUACACUAUUAAGGAGAAAAAACAAAGGGGGAAAAAAAACAACGAAAGAACAAUGUGUCACAGCCAUCACUGACAGUAUCCACACCUGACAACAUCUGUGAGUUUAUGACAGAAAAUUGCCUGGUUGUUUUAAGAAAUUUGUGAUGGGGCAAUGAAACAUCAAAAACAAUACUGACCAGUCCUCACUGUAACAGACAAGCUUUUACUUCAGGAAGUAUAGUGGGAAAGAGAAAGGGGGACAGGAUAAGGAAAAGUCCACAAGCUUGGACUUGAACUCGGGUCGCCCAAAGAACAACGGCACAAUAUGUCAGCGUGCUGCCCACAAGCGUAUCGGUGCCAAAUAACCAAAUCCAAUUUGAUAAGUAUUAGAACCUCAUUGUGUAAGAAACAUGGGGGAAACUGAAUCCGACAGCAAACAAUCCAGCUGUCAGAAUCCGUUCCCCCACCCAUAUGAUGAGAGAUGUUGAUGCAGUGAUUCUGAGAGUGGAGAUUAACCAGCAUCAGUUUGAUAAAUAUUAGAACCUCAUUGUGUAAGAAACAUGGGGGAAACUGAAUCCAACAACAAACAAUCCAGCUGUCAGAAUCCGUUCCCCCACCCAUAUGAUGAGAGAUGUUGAUGCAGUGAUUCUGAGAGUGGAGAUUAACCAGCAUCAGUUUGAUAAAUAUUAGAACCUCAUUGUGUGGUUCUAAUAUUCAAGCUUUAAAGGGGUCAUAUAAUGCCAUUUUUGUACAAGUUAAUAUGAUUCUUUAGGGUCAAAAUGAAAAGUUUGUAAUAUACUUUAAUUAAAAAUUCUCAUUAUUAUUGUAAGAAAACACUCAUUUUACCUGGUCAAAACCAGCUGUUUUCAGCAAGCCAUUUCAAUGCAUGUGUCUUUAAAUGAUAAUGAGCUUUGCUCACCCCGCCCCUCUGUUCUGUGGGGCGUUUUGACACAACACACAUGAGCCGUUUCUCAAUAUGUGUUCUUGUCUGUACUUGUGUUCUUGUGGACUUGUGAAAUGUCAUCAGUCGCUGUCCAAGUACUGUUCCAAUUCAAAGUUCGCAUCUAGCCAAGUACAGUUCAAAUCCCCGGAUGUGUUCUUGAUCCGCCCCUUUUAUCGAGGAUGCAUCGAGAGGUGACUUGUGCAGACUUGAGACAGCCAGGUA
Molecule: long non-coding RNA, 9247 nt
Organism: Megalobrama amblycephala (Wuchang bream)
Lineage: Eukaryota; Metazoa; Chordata; Actinopteri; Cypriniformes; Xenocyprididae
Exons: 8
Source: RefSeq, a predicted model, not a curated record